This 905-nucleotide ribosomal RNA is filed under the name Lepeophtheirus salmonis (salmon louse). Its description in RNAcentral is "SSU rRNA". It matches the Rfam family "Eukaryotic small subunit ribosomal RNA", at positions 553 to 1474 of the family's 1831-position model. Lineage: Eukaryota; Metazoa; Arthropoda; Copepoda; Siphonostomatoida; Caligidae. The record is from RNAcentral.
GGGCAAGUCUGGUGCCAGCAGCCGCGUAAUUCCAGCUCCAAUAGCGUAUAUUAAAGUUGUUGCGGUCAAAAAGCUCGUAGUUGGAUUUCGGUGAGUAAGGAGGGGUUCAUCUUGUUUGAUGUAACUGCUGUCUUGUCUCGCGUUUUUCGACAGAGGUUUCGAUGGUGCCUUUCAAAGGGUGUCUCGGGAUACUGUCGGGUUUACUUUGAAAAAAUUAGAGUGCUCAAAGCAGGCUUUUAAAAGCUUGAAUAUUAGUGCAUGGAAUAAUGAAAUAGGAAGUCGUUUCUAUUUUGUUGGUUUUCGGAAAUCGACUUAAUGAUUAAUAGGGACAGUCGGGGGCAUUAGUAUUCAGACGACAGAGGUGAAAUUCUUGGACCGUCUGAAGACUAACUACUGCGAAAGCAUUUGCCAAGAAUGUUUUCAUUAAUCAAGAACGAAAGUUAGAGGUUCGAAGGCGAUCAGAUACCGCCCUAGUUCUAACCAUAAACGAUGCCAGCUAGCGAUCCGCAGUUGUUUAUUUUUACGACUCUGCGGGAAGCUUCCGGGAAACCAAAGCUUUUGGGUUCCGGGGGAAGUAUGGUUGCAAAGCUGAAACUUAAAGGAAUUGACGGAAGGGCACCACCAGGAGUGGCCUGCGGCUUAAUUUGACUCAACACGGGAAAUCUCACCAGGCCCGGACACUGGAAGGAUUGACAGAUUGAGAGCUCUUUCUCGAUUCGGUGGGUGGUGGUGCAUGGCCGUUCUUAGUUGGUGGAGUGAUUUGUCUGGUUAAUUCCGAUAACGAACGAGACUCUGUCCUGCUAAAUAGAGUUAACGUCAUUUUUUUUGCGUUAACUUUUCUUCUUAGAGGGACUGGUGGCGUCUAGCCACACGAGAUUGAGCAAUAACAGGUCUGUGAUGCCCUU